RNAcentral lists this ribosomal RNA (253 nucleotides) under uncultured bacterium. Its description in RNAcentral is "partial 16S ribosomal RNA". It matches the Rfam family "Bacterial small subunit ribosomal RNA", at positions 524 to 776 of the family's 1533-position model. The record is from RNAcentral.
UACGUAGGUGACAAGCGUUGUCCGGAUUUACUAGGCGUAAAGGGCGCGUAGGCGGCCCGUCAAGUCCCGUGUGAAAGCCCCCGGCUCAACCGGGGAACGGCGCGGGAAACUAGCAGGCUUGAGUUCGGGAGAGGGAAGCGGAAUUCCGGGUGUAGCGGUGAAAUGCGCAGAUAUCCGGAGGAACACCGGUGGCGAAGGCGGCUUCCUGGACCGACACUGACGCUGAGGCGCGAAAGCUAGGGGAGCAAACGGG